RNAcentral lists this long non-coding RNA (667 nucleotides) under Heterocephalus glaber (naked mole-rat). RNAcentral's name for it is "lncRNA (ENSHGLG00000033804.1)". The record is from RNAcentral. Lineage: Eukaryota; Metazoa; Chordata; Mammalia; Rodentia; Bathyergidae.
CAGACCAUCCAUUCUCUCCUUUGCUGGCCUUGAUGAAAUAAUCUACCAUAGAGACCUCUGUGGCAAAGAACUAGGAGCCGACUCCAGCUAAGAGCAGCAGGGAAGUAAGGCCUGUAUUCUGAUAACCCACAAGGAACUGAAUCCUGCUGACAACCAUGUCCAACUCAGAGGCUUCACCCCACAAUGAACCACAUUUCUUCAGCACUCUCAUAGCAUUGGCUUCAUCACAAUCUGCCUCAUCUCAGAAUAACAGGUGCUUGCAAGUCACUACACUGACCAGUUGGGGUUUGAAUUUAUGAUCCUCCUGCCUCUGUCUCUCAGAGUGCUGCGAUUACAGCAUUCAGAAAAUAUGAAGAAAAAGAAGGGAGGGAAGGAUGGAUGGGCAGAGGUAUUCCUAGCACCAUUGGAAUUGUUAAGAGACAGUAGAGGCCAGAUGACUGGAGUGAGCAAAUGACAAAAGAAACUUCACCUAUGGCCAGCCGAAGUCAGAAGACCCGGGCCAUCUGGUCUGCUCUUGUUUUGGGGUUGCCACGGAAGCCCUCUUGCAGAAUUGCUCUGUGAGUGGCAAGAAGUGUCACUAAAAAAUAGAAAAUAAAGGCUGCAGAUUGUCAUGUUUGUAAAAAGCAAUCAUGUUAGCACAAGUCUUUGCCUGUUCUGUCGCCUCCCC